GGCGCUCUGGUCGAGGAUAAACGACCCCUCUGACCGAGGUUAAGUGGUCGCUGCUGUGUUACCUCUUUCCCGAGGCACACGUUAAAGAUUGUUCCGCAUUGUGAGUCUAACACCAGUUGUAACUUUUUACAACCGGCAGCGCUGGAUCCCUUGGCACGUCAUUCGAUGAAGACCGUUGCAAAUUGCGAUAAAGUGAUGUGAUGCGCAAGUCCACCACUUAUACGUGAAUCAUCGAGUUGUUGAACGCAUUGCACCGCGCCCUAAUCCGGCUGCGGUAUGCCCCUUUGAGCGUCAUUGUAUUCCUUCGGGAGUCUUUCCUUGCGAAAGACCCGAGUUCGGAGUCCUCGGUCUUUGGAUCGUGUUCUCUCAGAUGCGUCGCGCCGAUCGCCUGAUGGGUACUCUAAUGCCUGAGCGUGGAGUCCUUUCUGGGUUUGAGACGUGCUUGACCGGCCGUUGGGCUCGUGUCACCAAGUCCGCGUCCUUUGCGACGUCGGUACUACAACGCAUGACCUCAUCGGGGUAGGACAACCCGCUAGACUUAAGCAUAUCAAUAAGCGGAGGA
Molecule: ribosomal RNA, 562 nt
Filed under: Tulasnella sp. M-2
Lineage: Eukaryota; Fungi; Basidiomycota; Agaricomycetes; Cantharellales; Tulasnellaceae
Description: eukaryotic LSU rRNA
Rfam family: 5.8S ribosomal RNA (bases 131-294)
Source: RNAcentral